This is a long non-coding RNA of Arvicola amphibius (Eurasian water vole), 1218 nucleotides long. RefSeq lists it as uncharacterized. NCBI's taxonomy places the organism in Eukaryota, Metazoa, Chordata, Mammalia, Rodentia, Cricetidae. The transcript is spliced from 7 exons. The record is from RefSeq and is a predicted model, not a curated record.
CUCUCUCUCUCUCUGCCACUCUCUCUCCUUCUCCCUUUUCCCCUUCUCCCUUUCUUUUCCCCUCUAUAACCCACUAAAUAAACUCUAUAUUCAAACUCUCUCUGGAUGGCCUAUCUGUCUCUCUCACCUGCCAAGGUCUCCUACCCACCAACCCAAAGAGGCCUCAGGAAGGCCAACUGAGGAUACAUGGGUACCAUAAAUUUACUCGGACCACUUUCUGACAUCCUGUGCCUGCUCCAUCACUACAAAUGACAAAAAUCAGAACAACAUCCAUCUGCAAUUCACUUCAUCAAUUGCCAAGUGCUGACCACUGGGAAAAACUGCCCUUCAUCUAAAUUGAAGAUCUCCAGAAGUGGACAGAAUUGCUGCAAUCGACAGCCUAGAUGUCCAGAUGUUGCAUUGGAAGGAAGAAAUACAAACACCCACUCGCAACACACCUUACUCCAUGGAGGGCUUAGCUCCGACAAGAGGUUAUCACACACAGAAAAGUUUUGACUUAUUGACAUGAACAUGGGAUUCUGUGAAUUUCAUACCUAUUCAGUUGAUCCUAAAAUCAUUAACUCUCCUCUGAAACCAUGGAAACCACUUGAGCUCCUGUAAUCCCGACUUCUUGAUCUGAUUUUACAAAACCCUGGUAAUCAUAAAGUGAAGUCACCACAGAACACAUGAAAAGAACCAUAACCACGGGAUCUCCAUGAGUAGGGACAACAGCAGCAAAUCCAAGAGGAGCUUUGGUGAGGAUCCAGUGCUGAUGAUUGUGUACCAGAAGACAGAGCACUUGAACCUGAACAACAACACACUACAGAAUGAACAUUUGUAUGCUAUGCUGGCUGAUAUGGAGGAAAUGAGAAAUGAGUGAGAUUGGAGGGCAUAAUGUGAAAUUCCCAAGGAAUGAGUAAAAAGGUAUGUUAAAUUCUGAAAUGCAAAAGACAUAAGCAAACACAGUAGGGAUAGUCUACAGCAAAUGCAUAGUUAAUACCAGUUUCAUUGCAGAGUCAUGCAAACCAAUUACACUAAAUCAGGAAGAAGACAAGAUUGCCACUCUUUCCAAACCUAUUCAAUACAGAACAUGAAGACUUAGCUAGAGCAAUAAGCAUAUGAAGGAGUUCAAGGGUAUACAAAUAGAAAAGGAAGAAGUCAAAGAAUCUUUAUAGUAUAUAUAAGUGAACCUAAAAACUUCACUGGGGACUCCUUUAGCUAAAAAAGAAUUUCACAAAA